GAUGAAGAACGUAGCGAAAUGCGAUAAGUAAUGCGAAUUGCAGAAUCCGUGAGUCAUCGAAUCUUUGAACGCACAUUGCGCCCCUUGGUUAUUCCGAAGGGCAUGCCUGUUCGAGCGUCAUUUCAACCCUCAAGCUCUCCGGAGUUUGGUGUUGGGGCGCCUGGGGCUUUUCGACCUCAGGGCCCUCAAGUCCAUCGGCGGGACCGCCAGGACACUGAGCGCAGUAGUAUUAUUUCGCUCGGUAGGAUCUUCCACGGCGGGUCGAUCUGGCCGCUAAACCCCCCAAUUCUCACCAAAGGUUGACCUCGGAUCAGGUAGGAAUACCCGCUGAACUUAAGCAUAUCAAUAAGCGGAGGA
This 357-nucleotide unclassified non-coding RNA is filed under the name soil metagenome. RNAcentral's name for it is "partial contains 5.8S ribosomal RNA, internal transcribed spacer 2, and large subunit ribosomal RNA". The stretch from base 1 to 120 matches the Rfam family "5.8S ribosomal RNA", at positions 35 to 154 of the family's 154-position model. The record is from RNAcentral.